AACGCAUAUUGCGCUCUUUGGUAUUCCGAAGAGCAUGCUUGUUUGAGUAUCAGUAAACACCUCAACCUCCUUCCUCUUUGUGAUGGAAAGGGUUGGAUUUGAGCAAACCCAACAAACACGCACAUUUCCUUGUGAGAUUGGCGGGUUGCUUAAAAUGCAGGUGCAGCUGUAACAAGAACAGACUGAGCUAAAAGCAUAUAUAAUUUAGUCCGCCUCGGUGGAUUAUCACCAUUUGCUGCAGCUACUCUAAGGUCGUCUUGUCCGAGCUGACUGAUGCAGGGAAUUGUCAGGAUAGGUCAUUAACAAGGCCUGUUCUUUCAACACUCGAUCUCAAAUCAAGUAAGACUACCCGCUGAACUUAA
This 362-nucleotide unclassified non-coding RNA is filed under the name uncultured fungus. RNAcentral describes it as "partial contains 5.8S ribosomal RNA, internal transcribed spacer 2, and large subunit ribosomal RNA". The record is from RNAcentral. Lineage: Eukaryota; Fungi.